This 508-nucleotide ribosomal RNA is filed under the name uncultured bacterium. RNAcentral describes it as "partial 16S ribosomal RNA". It matches the Rfam family "Bacterial small subunit ribosomal RNA", at positions 30 to 523 of the family's 1533-position model. The record is from RNAcentral.
AUUGAACGCUGGCGGCAUGCCUUACACAUGCAAGUCGAACGGCAGCGGGGGAGAAGCUUGCUUUUCCUGCCGGCGAGUGGCGAACGGGUGAGUAAUACAUCGGAACGUGCCCUGUAGUGGGGGAUAACUAGUCGAAAGAUUAGCUAAUACCGCAUACGACCUGAGGGUGAAAGUGGGGGACCGCAAGGCCUCAUGCUAUAGGAGCGGCCGAUGUCUGAUGAGCUAGUUGGUGGGGUAAAGGCCUACCAAGGCGACGAUCAGGAGCUGGGCUGAGAGGACGAUCAGCCACACUGUGACUGAGGCACGGCCCAGACUCCUACGGGAGGCAGCAGUGGGGAAUUUUGGACAAUGGGCGAAAGCCUGAUCCAGCAAUGCCGCGUGUGUGAAGAAGGCCUUCGGGUUGUAAAGCACUUUUGUCCGGAAAGAAAUGGCUCUGGUUAAUACCUGGGGUCGAUGACGGUACCGGAAGAAUAAGGACCGGCUAACUACGUGCCAGCCGCCGCAGUAA